GGGCCGUUGGCGCAGGGGUAGCGCGCUUCCUUGACACGGAAGAGGUCACUGGUUCAAAUCCAGUACGGCCCACCA
RNAcentral lists this transfer RNA (75 nucleotides) under Bifidobacteriaceae bacterium. RNAcentral's name for it is "tRNA-Val". It matches the Rfam family "tRNA". Rfam says of the family: Transfer RNA (tRNA) molecules are approximately 80 nucleotides in length. Their secondary structure includes four short double-helical elements and three loops (D, anti-codon, and T loops). Lineage: Bacteria; Bacillati; Actinomycetota; Actinomycetes; Bifidobacteriales; Bifidobacteriaceae. The record is from RNAcentral.